Bos taurus (domestic cattle) is the source of this 674-nucleotide long non-coding RNA. The record is from Ensembl. NCBI's taxonomy places the organism in Eukaryota, Metazoa, Chordata, Mammalia, Artiodactyla, Bovidae.
GUCAGAGAGCCCAGAGAAGCAAGUGUUUUGGGAGGAGAGCAUGGCCAAGGGUGUUUAAUGCUGCUGACAGGAGGAUGGAGGGGAAGUCAAGGAUCAGGCGAGAAGGCAAUGGUACCCCACUCCAGUACUCUUGCCUGGAAAAUCCCAUGGAUGGAGGAGCCUGAUAGGCUGCAGUCCAUGGGGUCGCUAAGAGUCGGGCACGACUGAGCAACUUCACUUUCACUUUCAUGCUUGAUCAGCCAGAGGAUCUUCAGCCCCGACCCUUGUCUCCACCUUCCGAACCCAGGAAAAGUCCACCGGGGAGAAUCUGACCGGAGACAAGCGCGGCCUGGGUGGAGGCCCAGCCCUGCCACCUCCCAGCAGGGUGAUUGUGAAGAAAUCUCUUAACCUGUCCAGGCUUCAGCUUCUCCAUCUGCACUUUGGGGAUGAUAAGACACAAUUCACGGCACUGUCCUGAGGCUUAAAGGAGGGUAAUUCAAGCUGUUCGCGCAGUGCCUGGCCCCAAGAUAAAAUACACCAAAAUUCCUCUGAGGGGCUGCUGACACCGACUGCCCUUUGAGCAUCCCCCUGUGAUGAUGGUACUAAAACAGGGACUAGGAGUUACUUGUCAACAGUGUGUAUGUUGGACUUGCAUUUGUGUUUAUUUACAUGUCAGUUACAGGCCUGAGAGAAAA